Molecule: non-coding RNA, 874 nt
Filed under: Homonota uruguayensis (Uruguay marked gecko)
Lineage: Eukaryota; Metazoa; Chordata; Lepidosauria; Squamata; Phyllodactylidae
Description: partial 12S ribosomal RNA
Rfam family: Bacterial small subunit ribosomal RNA
Source: RNAcentral
AGGCCACAAUUACACAUGCAAGCCUCCACAACCCCGUGCCCAACCCCAGACAGCCUACCCCGAACAACCUAGGCCAGGAGAUGACAUCAGGCACACACAGCUUAGCCCACGACGUCUAGCCACGCCACACCCCCACGGACUUCAGCAGUGAUAAACAUUAAGCAAUGGGCCCAAAACAAAAGCCCGACUCAGCUAUGGCCUUACACAAGCGUCGGUAAACUUCGUGCCAGCCACCGCGGUUAUACGAAGGACUCAAAACAAUACCUACGGCAUAAAACGUGAUCAGAACUAACCCCAAAGAAACUCGGAACCAUAAUACAGCUGUAAAACGCACACAUAUACCGGAACCCCAAUGACUUUCUACCAAGAACUUUGACUCACGAAAACCGAGACCUAAACUAGGAUUAGAUACCCUACUAUACCCGGUCGUAAACCAAGAUGGUUUAAUCAUACUACCAUCUGCCAGAGAAUUACAAGUGAAAAACUUAAAACUCUAAGGACUUGACGGUGCCCCACACCAGCCUAGAGGAGCCUGUCCUAUAAUCGAUACCCCACGCUCCACCUCACCCCCCCUUGCCAAACCCCGCCUAUAUACCGCCGUCGUCAGCCCACCUACUGAUAGCAACAAAAGUCAGCAUAAUAGCACCCCGCUAGCACGUCAGGUCAAGGUGUAGCUAAUGGGGGGGACUAAGAUGGGCUACAUUUGCUAACCUAUAGCAAACCCACUGAAAGCCCCAUGAAACAAAGGGCCAGAAGGCGGAUUUAGCAGUAAACACCGGCAAGACCUGCCCAUUUGAACACCGCUCUGGGGCGCGUACACACCGCCCGUCACCCUCCUCGCCACCACACAUAAACAAACCCCUAGAAACACCAC